AGAUCUGUGACUCAGGGCUCGGGUUUCAGCCCUGGCCCGUCUCAGGCCUGUGUUGUGUUCUCUCUGACACUCAGAUUCUGAGAGUUGAAUACAGGGUCUUCCGUGGAGAGCUUCUCGGUGUGGAUUCUCAUCAUCAUUAGAGGCAAACUAACCAACAGAGGCUCACAGCUGAAAGGCUGAGCUUUUUGAACAAGCCCUUCUCCACUCCCUCCAGAGUUCGCAGGCAAUGCAUCCUUUACUUUUGAAGUUUUGCUGGAUGGAUCAAAUAGGUUGGUGUUAUGCUACAUUUCUUAAGAAUAGGUCAGAGCACCAUCUGUUUCUUUUCCUCUGGCUUCACACCUCAGUAUGUUAGGGUCCUGGGACAUCAUGACAGAGAACUCUCACCCAAUGGUCCACCACCAACCUGCUGGUGGCUGCAGGAAUUAUGGAGAGAGUGCUUGAGAGAAGUCACGGGGAUGGAUGAGAUUGCCCAGGGAGAAAAAGUGUGAAGCAAGCUGCUGUGAAGAUCGAAUCUGCCUUCUUCUGAAAGCAGCACCAACCUGAGUGAUUUCAUCCAGAAUAAUAAAUAAUAAUUUCCUUUCA
Molecule: long non-coding RNA, 582 nt
Organism: Capra hircus (goat)
Lineage: Eukaryota; Metazoa; Chordata; Mammalia; Artiodactyla; Bovidae
Exons: 2
Source: RefSeq, a predicted model, not a curated record